UACGGAGGGGGCUAGCGUUGUUCGGAAUUACUGGGCGUAAAGCGCGCGUAGGCGGCCUUGUACGUUAGAGGUGAAAGCCCAGGGCUCAACCCUGGAAUUGCCUUUAAGACUGCAUCGCUUGAACAUCGGAGAGGUAAGUGGAAUUCCGAGUGUAGAGGUGAAAUUCGUAGAUAUUCGGAAGAACACCAGUGGCGAAGGCGACUUACUGGACGAGUGUUGACGCUGAGGUGCGAAAGCGUGGGGAGCAAACAGG
Molecule: ribosomal RNA, 253 nt
Filed under: uncultured bacterium
Lineage: Bacteria
Description: partial 16S ribosomal RNA
Rfam family: Bacterial small subunit ribosomal RNA
Source: RNAcentral